GAGUUUGAUCCUGGCUCAGGAUGAACGCUAGCUACAGGCUUAACACAUGCAAGUCGAGGGGCAGCAUCAUCAAAGCUUGCUUUGAUGGAUGGCGACCGGCGCACGGGUGAGUAACACGUAUCCAACCUGCCGACAACACUGGGAUAGCCUUUCGAAAGAAAGAUUAAUACCGGAUGGUAUAGUUUUCCCGCAUGGGAUGAUUAUUAAAGAAUUUCGGUUGUCGAUGGGGAUGCGUUCCAUUAGGCAGUUGGCGG
This 254-nucleotide ribosomal RNA is filed under the name Escherichia coli. RNAcentral's name for it is "partial 16S ribosomal RNA". It matches the Rfam family "Bacterial small subunit ribosomal RNA", at positions 9 to 255 of the family's 1533-position model. Lineage: Bacteria; Pseudomonadati; Pseudomonadota; Gammaproteobacteria; Enterobacterales; Enterobacteriaceae. The record is from RNAcentral.